CCCUUGGCAGGUCUCGGCGACACAUAGUGUAUCCGAGCCGCAAACUGGCAGGAUUCAGGAGACCGUAGUCAGCCUGAUCCGCAAUCCUGGCAGGUAUCAGGAGACCGUAGUCAGCAUGAUCCGCAAUCCUGGCACUCACGGUCCGGGCGUCCCCAAAACUCAUGAGGCAAAUGUCAAGUGCACUGACUGAACUGUAAGUAAACUGGAUGUCUAUAGACAUCAUCAUAUCCGAAGGCAACAUAAACCGAAGGCAACAUAAACCGAAGGCAACCUGGAUGUCCGUAGACAUCGUCUUAUUUGACGGCAAUCCGUUUCUGUAACUGGGUACCCACAGUGGUUUAAGAAAAUAUAAACUGCUGAGAAAAUGUGAUAUAAAAAUAUGAUAAUAUUUCUGAAAGAUCUGAGGAAUAACUGAAUCUGUAAUCAAUCUAUAACUGUGCUGCCCUUUUUAUCUGAUAGAAAACUCAAACUCUGCUUUCUAUAAUUCAUGGUGGUCUAAAAAUAAUUAUCUGAUAAUUCUCUGAAAUCUGAUAAUUUAACUAUAGUCGUAAUGCUACUGCUAUUUUGUUAUAUAAAGCUCAAGGUCUGCUGCUAAUAUAACCUCAAUAAUAUAUGUAACUC
RNAcentral lists this long non-coding RNA (621 nucleotides) under Prunus dulcis (almond). RNAcentral describes it as "sRNA ncRNA". Lineage: Eukaryota; Viridiplantae; Streptophyta; Magnoliopsida; Rosales; Rosaceae. The record is from RNAcentral.